CCCCUGUUUUGUGUUUUGUGUGUUUGUCUUGUGCCACAGACGGCAGCUUACCUGGCGGUGUCUAGAGGCAUUCCCGGAGUGUCCUCAGUCCAGCAAAGCAUGAAUGUUUGAUGGUCUUUGUGCUAAACAAAGACUUUGCCAUUGAUGUUGAAAGAUGUGAUGCAGAAAAUUAAUGAUUGAGCGCAUGCCUGAAUGAUCAGCGUUCUCAAAUCCACCUCUCAAAAGGCAAACUGAAACAUGUUUUGGAAGAGGACUGCAUAUAUCCUGCCAGCUCCCACAGCACCAGUUGACCCUGCUCUAGCCUACCAGAGGCACCACUGCCAGUCCUCCACCACCCUCCUAAGCAAUAGCACUAGCACUAGCAAUACAGUCAAAGGGAAAAAGUAGGUCCACACUCCCUACCACCCCAAACCCUGGUCCUGAAUGGGCCACUUAAACAUACAUCCAUAUUUUGUAAUUACAAAUAACAAAAGGAUCAAAUUCUAUGCUAAACAAGACGGCUGCAGUGUCUGCAAAUACCAAUAAAGUACUUAAGUACUUAAGCUCAAGUAUGUGAUGAUAUGGUGGGCUAUGCCAGAUCUGUUUUUAGUGUAUCACCUUUGAGGG
Anguilla rostrata (American eel) is the source of this 606-nucleotide long non-coding RNA. RefSeq lists it as uncharacterized. The transcript is spliced from 2 exons. The record is from RefSeq and is a predicted model, not a curated record. NCBI's taxonomy places the organism in Eukaryota, Metazoa, Chordata, Actinopteri, Anguilliformes, Anguillidae.